AGUAAUGUCUGGGAAACUGCCUGAUGGAGGGGGAUAACUACUGGAAACGGUAGCUAAUACCGCAUAACGUCGCAAGACCAAAGUGGGGGACCUUCGGGCCUCAUGCCAUCAGAUGUGCCCAGAUGGGAUUAGCUAGUAGGCGGGGUAACGGCUCACCUAGGCGACGAUCCCUAGCUGGUCUGAGAGGAUGCCAGCCACACUGGAACUGAGACACGGUCCAG
This 221-nucleotide ribosomal RNA is filed under the name uncultured bacterium. Its description in RNAcentral is "partial 16S ribosomal RNA". It matches the Rfam family "Bacterial small subunit ribosomal RNA", at positions 109 to 334 of the family's 1533-position model. The record is from RNAcentral.